Molecule: small RNA, 1576 nt
Filed under: Pan troglodytes (chimpanzee)
Lineage: Eukaryota; Metazoa; Chordata; Mammalia; Primates; Hominidae
Description: retained intron
Source: RNAcentral
GGAAGGGCGGGCAGGAGGGCAGGGAAGCCGCUCACCCAGGCACAAAGCGCCUCCCGCUUGAGCGGACUCCAAAGGGACGGUCCGCGGUGUGCAGCGAGCUGCGCUCAGGGCACCUUGCGCCCGGCCCUUCCGCUGCACACAGCCCACCCAGGACCUCCCGCAGCGCUGACUAGCGGGGCGGGUGCAAGGACGGGGCGGGGUCUCUGCGCCCGGCCCCCUCCCCUGACUAUCAAAGCAGCGGCCGGCUGUUGGGGUCCACCACGCCUUCCACCUGCCCCACUGCUUCUUCGCUUCUCUCUUGGAAAGUCCAGUCUCUCCUCGGCUUGCAAUGGACCCCAACUGCUCCUGCGCCGCUGGUAAGGAACGCCGGGUUCCGUGCCUGGGGAUGCUCGAUUCCCAGACACCAUAGAGAGUGUUCCUGGGUUUGAGAAGGUCGUAUUUUGAGAUCUCAACUGUAGCGGACUCCUUGACUUAGUCCAGUGCUUUCCUCUUGGCCAAGCUCCUGAGAGCAUUUCCUUCCUCUCUGUGCCUCUGUGUCAGAGUUGAGGGUACUGAGGCUCAAGGCUGUCCUGCUCCACGUCAUGCGGUUUGUCCCAGGGCUGUUGGCUGAGCCCCAGUGCUCUGACCAGGCUUUGAGCAGCAGGAUUAGAUAGGAGGCAGGGACAUUGCCUCUUCGGGGUUCAGGACAGAAAGUCGAAGUCGCCGUCUUCCCAGGCUGUGCCUGGAGCCUGGGACUUUCCUUUGGAGUGCAAACAGGAGGCUGCUUGGCCUUCCCAGCAUGAAGGCAGAGGACAUGGGGCUUCUCUUCCUCUGCUCUGAGUGGGAAAGGAGCUCUGAGGGCUGGCCCCGCACAGAGGAGGGGGCAAUGGAGACUCAUUAACUCACUGCUGUACCUCCUGCAGGUCACUCGCCGCUCACUGGCUUUUUCUCUUUCUCGCAGGUGGCUCCUGUACGUGCGCCGGCUCCUGCAAGUGCAAAGAGUGCAAAUGCACCUCCUGCAAGAAGAGUGAGUGUGAGGCCAUCUCCAUGGUCUGGGGCUGUGGCUAAGGUUGGGAGGGAACCCAAGGCUGGCCCUGAGUGCAUGCUUCUGGGGGAACUGGCCUUCCUUUGUCCCCGUAGGUUGUCACUGCCUUUCUAUCUAGUCUUCUGCCCUGUGCAGGGCGCCUGGGCAGCUUUCUCAUAGGAAGACCCACCCCAGAUAUUUCCCAGUUGUCUCCUGACAAAGCCAUACCCUCCUGAACUGAGGGUCCUUUGGGGCUGGAGGCUCUGUUGGGGGCCUCUGUUGGGGAGGGAGGUCCCUGGGCAAGUUGGCUGUGACCUCUCAUGCUCCUCUUCUUCCCCAGGCUGCUGCUCCUGCUGCCCCGUGGGCUGUAGCAAGUGUGCCCAGGGCUGUGUUUGCAAAGGGGCGUCAGAGAAGUGCAGCUGCUGUGACUGAUGCCAGGACAGCCUUUCUCCCAGAUGUAAACAGAGAGACAUGUACAAACCUGGAUUUUUUUUUUUGAUACCACCUUGACCCAUUUGCUACAUUCCUUUUCCUGUGAAAUAUGUGAGUGAUAAUUAAACACUUUAGACCCGA